RNAcentral lists this transfer RNA (71 nucleotides) under Stegodyphus mimosarum. It matches the Rfam family "tRNA". From Rfam's summary of the family: Transfer RNA (tRNA) molecules are approximately 80 nucleotides in length. Their secondary structure includes four short double-helical elements and three loops (D, anti-codon, and T loops). The record is from Rfam by way of RNAcentral. Lineage: Eukaryota; Metazoa; Arthropoda; Arachnida; Araneae; Eresidae.
GCUUUCGUGGAGUAGCGGUAGCAUAUUUGACUCGUAUUCGAAAGGACCAGGUUCGAUUCCCGGCGAGGACU